UACGGAGGGGACUAGCGUUGUUCGGAAUUACUGGGCGUAAAGCGCACGUAGGCGGAUCAGCAAGUUAGGGGUGAAAUCCCAGGGCUCAACCCUGGAACUGCCCUUAAAACUGUUGGUCUUGAGUUCGAGAGAGGUGAGUGGAAUUCCGAGUGUAGAGGUGAAAUUCGUAGAUAUUCGGAGGAACACCAGUGGCGAAGGCGGCUCACUGGCUCGAUACUGACGCUGAGGAGCGAAAGCGUGGGGAGCAAACAGG
This 253-nucleotide unclassified non-coding RNA is filed under the name uncultured Rhodobacterales bacterium. RNAcentral's name for it is "contains 16S-23S intergenic spacer region". It matches the Rfam family "Bacterial small subunit ribosomal RNA", at positions 524 to 776 of the family's 1533-position model. Lineage: Bacteria; Pseudomonadati; Pseudomonadota; Alphaproteobacteria; Rhodobacterales. The record is from RNAcentral.